This is a long non-coding RNA of Homo sapiens (human), 15513 nucleotides long. RefSeq lists it as uncharacterized. Lineage: Eukaryota; Metazoa; Chordata; Mammalia; Primates; Hominidae. The transcript has 2 exons. The record is from RefSeq and is a predicted model, not a curated record.
AAGACUCCAUACAUUCAGCGUCUUAAGAAGCAGACCCAGAGUUCCAGGGCACAGCCUCAGCAGCCCAAGGCCAGCUCCAAGGUCACUGGCCUUUCCUGAUUUGACCUUCACUUGGGAUCAAGUCUUCCUGAACCAGAAACAAGCUGAAUCCGAGAAGCCCAGGCAGGCUGUGCUGCUAGCAUCCUGUGUAUUUCGGUGAGUCCUCCACAACAAAGUACGCCCUUCAUCCAGCUGAAGUCACAUUUAAAAUUAACAGGUAAAACCAUUCCGAGCUCAGAUGCCAAGCCCACCCAGGAAGGCAUGGUGGUAGAGUGAACCUGGGUUCCAAUCCCAGCUUUGCCUCUUAUCAGCUGUGUAACCUUAAUCAAGUUAUUUAACCUCUCUUGGUUCCCACUGGUGAUUUUCAAAAUUGAAUGUAAUCUCCCUGGCUUUGCAAUGAAAUUGAAUGACACAAUGUCUGCUAGAUGCUUGGCAUGUGGUAGGUGGUCAUGAACAUUGUUUUCUUCUCCCCUUGUCUGGCUUAAAAACAGAAAUGUGCUUCCCUGGGCAGCUCUAUAGGUCAUAAGGUAGCAAGAAAAGUCCUUAUGCUUAAACCUCCCAUGCCAUCUCUCCUGGAGCCUAGUUUACACACACACACACACACACACACACACACACACACCCAGCAAUUUGCUGUAUAAACACAACCACAAGUUCACCAGGAUCCUUAAAUUCCAAACAAAACCUCCAACUGCAAGUCUUUUUAAUCAGGGCCCUCUGAACCACAAGCAGCCCUUGCCUGGGGCCACACUGCCUUUUUCCGGCUCACCCCUCUGUACUGCCCCCACCAGCUGAAAAGUCCGGAAUAACGACUUAAGACAGCUAGGUGAUCAAUACCCAGAUUUUCGGGCUCAGUAGCCUAAUUUGAUAAGACGGUUUGGAAAAUAUUGACAUUACCCAAAUGUCUAGGUGGACCCAGGACAUUCGGGUAAUGCCCCAGUUUCCUCUGAAACCAUCAAGGUUAGAAUCAAUGGGGGCGGAAGAGGAGAAGAGGUGAAUUUCCUGACCAGCAACCUUGCCCCCCGCCCCCUCCCACCCCCACUCACACACCACCACAUAGCUCACAGUGAUUUAGGCAGCUGCACCACAGGCUGCUCCACCAGGCUUUUCAAUACCGGCCAAGGAAGACAAGGCAGUACAUGCACCACACCCACCCCCUGGCCCCAGAAAUUUUAGAAAAUCGUCCUACCUUGUAAGGUUCCUAGGCCAGAGCAUUUCACUACAUUGCGGCCCUUGGAGAACAGCGGACAAAGAAGCUGAAUGAAUCUCACAGGAUGGCAAGUCCUUUAGCCAGCUGAGCCAGCCCACACUGGGCCAGGGAAUCCCAGGCACCCAGCAACUCUGUAACUAAAGGACUAGCUAGCAGGGAUCACCAUUCCCCAGGCCAGGAAAGAAAUCCGAUCCCCCAACAAAAUUAACCUCUGAAGUGCUGAAGGAUCGAGAGGUCAGGCCUCAGUGCUGGUAUCAAGUCAGCUGUGAAAAGUUUCAGCAAAGCAAAAGCUAACACCAAACUCUGAAACCAUUACCGUAAAGCACUGAAUGGAAGGGCCCUCCAUGUGGUCCCAGGGGAGUUUGCAACAGCGGGUCAAAUUGAAGAAAAUCUAAGAAUGAAAAACUACUUUAAAUCCUCACAGACUGCACAGAAACAUUGCAGAAAGUCUUUCCAGCCCUAAGUGCUACUUUUAAUGAUGCAAAAAUCAUUGACUAUAACAUUUCUUAGCUCAUUCCAUUGACGUCUGAAGGCAAAGCAUUCGAUUGAAAAGAUUAGCCUACAGAGAGAAUUUCUGAACCUAAAAAGGAAAUGAUACCUGUUUGUACAGUUAACAACGACACACAUACAUUAUUUCCGGUGAUGUCAAUUUUGAUGCAGUGCCAACAAAAAUAUGCAUUAAUUCCGCAGGCUACUUAUUUCAAAAGAAAAAGAAUCUCAGUCUAGGCAUGGCUACAUUAAACAUUAUGGUACAGAGGCUGGAAGGGGAGGUGGGUGGGAGAGAGUCCCAGCUCUGGGAUGGGAAGGGGUUGCAUGGACUAAUCCCUAUUAAAACCUGUAAUCAAGGCACUCAGAAAGAACUAUGUAAACAGAUGCUAUGAACAAUGAACAACUGUAUUACUACUGAGAACUCAAAAGCAAACUUAUGUUAUAGCCACAAGCUUUAUUUGAAAACGAAGGAUUAAGAUGUUCUCCAAAACCCUGACUCCCUCUCCAAAAAUCCUACCAGUUGGUUCCUGGUAGCUUUCAAAGACUUUCCCCAAGAAAGGCUCUCCCCCUGGCCAGGGUGGCCUCUCCAGUGGAAGCAGGGAGCGGGGGUUGUGGCCCUGGGGGAUGGUUAGGGAAGGAAGCAGUAACUGGCUCCAAGCGAGGUCUCUGUGUGGUCAGCAUUUGCUCAGCAAACAGAAGCUUUCAAAGGGGAAUGAAGAGCCAUUCCUCUCCCACUGAAAAGGGAGGGAAUAAAAGAUCUGCUCAAAGAGGAGAGGAGGGUCUGGUGGUGAUUCCCAGGUGAAUGAAAAAAAGAUUGUAAUCUCGAAGGAGUCCCAACCAAAGUUAAUCAUUCACAUCUCAUCCUUCAGGGCCCUCGUCCACUUGAAAUACUGCUGAGGCAUCUGCCGUGGGGAGUGGGAAGCAGAGGUGGGGGUGGGCAGUGGGUGAGUUUGAGGGAAGGAGUAGUGUCCAGAUAUAUUAAGACAAAAAAGUUGGGACAGACCCAAGUUCUGGCUGACAAGGAUGCUUCAAACCACCCCUUACCUUCUAUGCUGUCCCUGGAACUGACUGUAUCUUUACGAUAUUACUUCUUUGAGAAUCUGUCCAACAUCCGAGUUAACUUGGGAAUGGGAUGGUGAUUGUGUGUAUGGAGACACACAGGCACAUGGGCACAGAUGCACACACACGCUCUAAAAAGUUUCCAUUGUUUCCUCGCUCUAGGCAAACAUAAUAGGUAAACAUUCUGAUUUGUCAUCAAGGUAAGCUAGGAAAUGUUGAUGUAUUCAUUUAUUCAUUCAUCAACUACCAUAUUUAUAAAGCAUCUGCAAUGUGGCAAGUGCUGUUCUAAGUGCAGAAGAUACAAGCAGUCAACAAAAUAGACCAAAAAUCUCAACUCUAAUGGAACUUAGCUUCAGUGGUAGAACUAUAAAAUAAAUGAGACAAAAUGUAAAUUUUACAGUACAUUAGCAAUAAAUGCUCGGGAGAACAACGUAUUGUAAAGAAGAAGAUGUGAUUUGUCAAGGUGGGGUGUGGGAAAUUUUACAUGGGCUGGCUAUGGCAGGUCUGCUGAGGGCAUGGUUUUUAUUACAAAUCUAAAAGAAGUAUGGGAGCUGGGUAUCUGAAUACCUGGGGAUAAGGGACUUUCAAGAGAGGAAAUGGUCAGUGCAAAGGCCCUGAGAUAGUAUACGACUUGCAAUGCAUUCCAAGAAUGAGUGGCUGGAGCAGUGAGCGGUGAACCAAAGUGGGGUGAGGAGGGGGUCAGGCCAGAGAGUCCAAGGGUACAGCGAGAGAGGAGAGUGCCUAAAUGGGGCCCUGCAAGUCAGCGUAAGCAGCUUGUCUUUUACUCUGAGGGAGAGAGGAUACAUUGGAGGUUUAAUAGAUGGAGUUUCUUCUUUUUAUAAAAGUUCAUGUAAAUGUACAACACUAAACAUAUCGUUUUGAUUACACAUGAUUUUUACAGGGGUGAGUUUAUUGUAGGAGACAUAGUGCUUUAAGGAGGUCUUAGUUUUCUUUCUAUGGUUAAAAGAAUCACACCUUUCAUGUUAGAGGCUCUGAAUUAUUUGCAGCUACAGGUUCUAAUUGAGUCAGGGUUUUCUCAUGGUUUGAAAGAUAAUAAUUAGUAGGGAUAAGGGAGACCCAGGCAACGAGAGAGGAAAAGGGAAAGUAAACCAACUCCAUGAGGGCAGAUGCCCUUUGGCGCUUUUCAAGAGCCAGGAUUGCUCUGUCAUUUUUGACGCUUGCUUCUAAACAGGCCAAAUUCCAAAGGGCUCCCAGAACUCAUAACACUUUUCUCCACAGAAACAAUGUUAUCAGUGAUGUUAAGGUUUCCAGGUUACUCACAGAGCCAUCUAUAAAACCAAGAUGUAGUUGAUGAACUCUACUCAGGUAUCAAAGAGUAGAAGAAAACUUUAUUCUUGGAAUACAGUACAUAAUUAGACAAAACAGAAAACCACAAAUCUAAAAAGAUGUUCACUUAUUUCUAAUGAGUAUUUUAUGAAAACAAUGCUAGUGAAGACACUUCGUUCCUUUUCUUCCAACAUAUUCAACCCUCUUUCCUGGCUUUUCCCUGCAGGCUGAAAAAUAUAUCACUAAUCUCAUCAAAUCAAACAAAAACUUUUUUUUUUUUUUACCUCAUGCCCAUAUUCUCCUCCACUCCUUUGAGGUGUUUUCCUGUACUUCUCAUGUUCCGUGAUCCUUCAACCCACCAGGCAAGAUGUUUGUUCCCACUACUCCACUGAGACCACUUUCUCUUUUCCCUGAGAACAUCAAUGGCUUCCUCCUUGCCAAAGCCAAUGGUCAACUCUCUGUCCUUACCCUACUUGAGUUUUCAGCAGCAGGUAGCAUCGACAGAUUCUCCCUUCUUGAGUGGGCCUCAUCCCGGGUUUCCAUACUGUCAUCUGUACCUGGUUCCUACCUCCCUAACUGCGCUUCUCAAUCUCCUAGGCUCACCCUCCUCUUCACCUCUCCAGAACUCCAGGGCCUCCAUCCCUGGACCCCUCCUCUUCUCUAACUAUAACUUCUCACUAACUUCUAACUAAGUUAUAACUACCACUUCUAACUAACUUCUUUUCCUGGGUGAUCUCAUCCAUGGCUUCAAAUACUAGGUGAAGGCAGACAACUCUAAAGUCUGUAAUCUCUAGCCUGGCCCCUUUGUGUACCCAACACAUCUGAAAUCAAAUUUACCUUACUCAAAACUAUUGCUCCCAACUUCCAAUGUGUCCGCACCCCCACUCCCAAAGUCUUCUGUAUCUCAGAAUAUGACUCUACAUUAACAGUCCUAAUUCUCUCCCUCCUUCUUGCCUCCGAUGUAAUCCAUUAAGAAGGCCUUUUGCCUAGAGUCCCCAAAUAUACCUUGAACCCAAUCACUACUGAACAUCUGCAAUAAGAUAACCUUGGACCAAGAUGCCAUCAUCUCUUUCCUGCAACAGACACCUCCCGGGUCGCUCAGCCUUCCCUCAUGCCUUGCUAGGCUCCAUCCUGCACACCCCAGGGGCAGCAAUCUUUCUCCAGUGUACAGCAGAUUCUGUCACAUUCCUGCUUAAAGCCCACUGAUAGCUUCCCAGGGAACUUAGAAUAAAAUUCAAAUUUGUUCCCUUGGCCUAGAAGCCCUGAUGUGAUCUGGCUUCUCCUCUUCAUUACGUCCAAAGACAGGACCCACAAAUGCACCAAGCUUCUUCCCACUUCCUAGGCCCUCGCACUGUGCCUCCUUUCUGGAAUGCUCCUCCCCAUGUCUCCCACUGGCGGCCCACUUCUCACGGGUCAGAUGUUGGUUGGAAUGGCACCUCCUCAGGGAUUUCCUCUUAGACUCUGGCCCAAUUACAUUCCACCAUAUGAUUUUCUUCAUGGCAUCAACCAGUCAACACAUUGUCUUUCAACAGUCUGUCUUUCCCUCAACACAGGGAGCUCCUCGAGCACAGGUGUACUGUUUGCCUUUGUUCUGAGCCAUAUCCUCCCAGUGCCUAAAUCACUGCUGAUGUGGUCCUGGAUCAACCAAGCAUAGGAGGACAAAAUGGAACUGAUUAUUCCAUGCAGUCUCCUGGGGACUGUGUAGUACUUCCAAGGACUUUAGUUCAAUGGUUUUAUUUGGUCACAGACCCACUUAGGGGCCCGUCUCUCCAUAAGAAAAAAGAUACACAAACAAUAUUUUACACAGAAUUUCCAGGGACUCACUGAUCCCCUGAAUCCUGUCCAUAAAGCCCAGGUUAAGCGCAGCUGCUUCUGAGUUUUGUAAUACCACUUUAGUUUCACUUUUUUUUUUUUUUUUUUUUUGAGAUGGAAUCUCACUCUGUCGCCCAGGCUGGAGUGCAGUGGGCCGAUCUCAGCUCACUGCAACCUCCACCUCCCGGGUUCAAGCGAUUCUCAUGCCUCAGCCUCCCGAACAGCUGGGACUACAGGCAUGCACCACCAUUCCUGGUUAAUUUUUGUAUUUUUAGUAGAGACUGAGUUUCAUCAUGUUGGCCAGGCUGGUCUCAAACUCCUGAUCUCAAGUGAUCCGCCUGCCUUGGCCUCCCAAAGUGCUGGGAUUACAGGAGUGAGCCACCACACCUGGCAGUUUCACUUUUAUACUGACUUUUUGUUUCCUUAAUUUGGGAAUCAGUAUUAUACUCAAUUCAGUUGCUUUCUUCUUGCUUGCUAGUAACAGAACAAAGAGAGAAAGGGAAGGGAGGGAGGGAGGAAGGAAAGCUCUCCUGGAUGAAUGAACAAGAAGGAAAACAUAAAGGUUUAAAAGAGGAUCUGUGUGUAUGGGACACAUUAAAAGAUGUGACACACAUCACAUUGCCUGGUGUGGAAUUUUACUGGGUGUGAUCUGCAACAGGCAGUGGGAAGGAGAGUCUUUAGCAAAGAUUUUGAAGUACAGCAGUUAAUACUAGGGAGUUUAUUAUUUUCAACAAGAAUUAUAGGAAACUAGGCAGCUUUGGGGUAGAAAAUGAACAACAUUCAACAAAUAGUCAAUGCAAAACCUUUGCCAGAUACUAGACUGGACACUGAGAAUAUAAGGCGGAGGAAAAGGAAAUGCCCCAGUCCUGACAGAGCUCUUUACAUGGAGGAGACAAACAAGCAAAAUCAUUAUGGAUGUUACGGGGAAAGUGAUGACAGAAAUAAACAGGGUGCUGUGAAAGAGAGUCACACAGGAAGCACUUACUUUAAAUAGUGUGGUAGGGAAAGGCCAUUCCCAGGAAGUGACAUUUAAAGGAAGACAUGAAAGAUGAGAGGGCACCAACCAGCCAUCAGAAGGAGAAAGCCAGGUGUUCCAGACGAAGGGGUUGGGGAGUGGAAGGGGGACGCAUCAAGUGCAGAGACCAGAGGGAGAGGCUGGGUGUGCUGGAGGGGCUGAAAGGUGGUUACUAUGUUUGAAGCUUAGUAAGCGGGUGUGGGGACAUUAGUGGAAAAGAAAGACUAUCCUCUGGAGAACUCUCAAACCAUUAAUAACAACUGAUCCUAGAAAAGUAUCAAUAAAGAGCUUUGAAAGGUAGUCAGUGUGCCUCUGCAUCUCCCCCAUUCCUUUUCCACUUCCUCUAUUCUUUUCUGGGAAUUAGGACCUAAAGGAUAAGCAAGAGGGCCUCCCUUCCUGUUAAAGUUCUUUUUCUUUUAUUUUAUUUUCUAUUUUUAUUUUUUGGAGACAGAGUCUUGCUCUGUUGUUUAGGCUGGAGUGCAGUGGCACGAUCUCAGCUCACUGCAACCUCCACCUCCCAGGUUCAUGCAAUUCUCAUGCCUCAGCCUCCUGAGUAGCUAGCACUACAGGUGUGCGCCACCGCACCUGGCUAAUUUUUUUUUUUUUUUUUUGUAUUUUAGUAGACAGGGUUUUGCCAUGUGGGCCAGGUUGGUCUUGAACUCCUGAGGUCAGGCAAUCUGCCUUCCUUGGCCUCCCAAGGUGCUGGAAUUACAGGCGUGAGUCACUGCACCUGGCCCUAUUCAUGUUCUUAUGCAGAAUCUCUAUUUCCACUGGGUCCAGGGAAGCAGGACCUCACUCUUUGCAUUUACCCAGAUUGUGGAUCCCUCCCUCCCUACUGUUUCCAGUGAAGUGGUGAUACUGUGCUCCAAUUAUAUUACAAAAACAGAAUGAGCUGCCUUUCAGCUUCAAAUAUUUUAUCUUAUAGAGCUGCAGUUUCUGUUACCUUUUGUUGGUUAAUUGUUGAGAUUGUCUGGACUCCACAUUUGUGAGUACUCACAUGUAAAAGCACACAUAUUCCUUAAUCUCUAAACAAAAGAUUUCAUUCAGCAGGAACAGUAUCCAAUCUGUUAUCCAUGCUUAUGCCCUUCCCAUUCUAAAUCUGAAACCAGCUGAUUGUUAACAAAACCUUAAAGACAGCUAAGGAACAGGACCAUGUGGGUGCCAGCAUCUUCAGCCUCAACUCACAAAUCCAGACUUUCCACCCUCAGUCCAACAUCAGGGAUGUCUUUUCUGGAAGGGUGCCAAUCGGCUAUAUCAACUCCAAAAUGGCAGCAUUUCCAGUAAAGGACAUAAGAGGUCGAAGUUACUCCCAACAAUAACGAUAAUUAAACUUUAUAAGCUUUACUGCCUACACAUCUCAUCUCAUUUAAUUCUAAGAACUGUUCUAACACGCGUUAUUAUCCCCAUGUUAUGAAAAAGAAACCGGCGCUCAGAGAAUUUAGAUGAUUUGCUCGUAGUCAUACAACUGCCAAGCGACAGACUGGAGCCAAAUCCUGUUUGAUUUCCGUGACACGGCAUUAGAGGAGUGAACACCUCCAGGUCACUAUGCCAACAGAUGACACUAAGACACUUAGUGGGCCAGGGCCAUUCACAGGUUAUCCCACAGUCCUUCAGCUCCUUCUAAUACUUUUGGGUUUGGUCCAAUUGAGAUACUGUCAUUUACCAAAUUCCACACUAUAGUCGCUCCUCCUAUAUUUGCAGUGAUUGUUCUCUUUAAAAUAUCAGCUGGAUAUUGACUUUUGUGUGCCAGGCAUUGUGCUGGGGAAACAGUGGUAUGUCAAAGAGAAGAUGUCUCUCUCUACCCCCUCGUGGAGCUUAUAAUUGGGUGUAUGUGGGGGUACCAAGCAGUCAAAUAAAAAACAAAUACAUUUAACCGCAAUCCAUGAGAUAUGCCAUGAAAGAAAAAAAGAAAUAGUAAACUGUGAGGACAUAUUAUAGGGAAGAAGAGAAGGAAAUUAUUGUCCACAAAGUCAGAAAAAUCUGUACUCAGGCUGCCUGUAUAGGAAUGCUGUGCAAUGGUGAAAGUUGACAAUUUUGGUGAAAAUCUUGAAACUUGACCCUAGAUGUAGCUUUCUAAAUAGCAAAACCUAGAUUACCCCAUAAAACCCCAUCCCACACAUCCCUGGCUAAGAACAACAGCCACAAAAAUUUCUGUGUCAUUGUCUCCAAGGCCAUAAGGAGUAGCAGCAGAUGGCAAUGCUCGACACGUAUUUCAGGGAACAGUAUGAAGUGAGGCUAUCGUGCCUAUUUGGUCAUGAUCAUAAAUCUGGUUAUUUAGAGGAAAACAGGAAAAAAACCCAAAGAAGCAAAUCCAUGUGGCAAUUAGGUCUUUUAUUUAUUAAUUAACUACCUUUUUUGAGACAGUGUUUCACUAUUGCCCAGCAGGAGUGCAGUGACACAAUCUCAGCUCCUUGAAACUUUAAACUCCUGGGCUCAAGCAAUCCUCCCGCCUCAGCCUCCCCAGUAGCUGGGACUACUGGCAUGUGCCAUCAUGCCUCUAAUUUAUAUUUAUAUUUAUAUUUAUAUUUAUAUUUAUUUAUUUAUUUUUGAGAUGAAGUCUUGCUGUGUCACCCAGGCUGGAGUGCAGUGGUGUGAUCUUGGCAAACUGCAAUCUCUGCCUCCCGGGUUCAAGUGAGUCUCCUGCCUCAGCCUCCCAAGUAGCUGUGACUACAGGUGUGCACCACCACACACAGCUAAUUUUUGUAUUUUUAGUAGAGAGAGGGUUUCGCCAUGUUGUCCAGGCUGGUCUUGAACUCCUGACCUCAGGUGAUCCACCUGCCUUGGCCUCCGAAAGGGCUGGGAAUACAGGCAUGAGCCACUGCACCUGGCCUAUGCCUGGCUAACUUUUAAAAUUUUUUGUAGAGGCAGGGUCUUGCUUUGUUGCCCAGGUGGGUUUUGAAUUCCUGGCCUCAAGCAAUCCUCUCACCCUGGCCUCCCAAAGUGCUGGAAUAUUACAGACAUGACCAAAUACACCUAGCCAUGGUCUUUUAAACAGAAAAUUAAAGGAGAUUUAAAAGAACAUGAUGGGCUUUGAGGAUCUAUAUUUUAUUAAGGGUGCUGUAGGGGCACAGAGAGAGUUCAAAUGUUUAUUUUUGCAGCUGCACUGUUAUCUCUAUUAAGAUGGAUGGGGAAUGAAGAAAAUGUUUCAGUGCUACUCUUUGGCUUUUUCCAAUGGGAGUCCAGCUCCAAGGACAUCCUUGACUGUGUCUACCACAGGGUGAUAAUGAGGGAGAGGGACAGGUGGCUGGGGUGAGGAGGGGGAAGUGUAAUCGGGGAGAAGGAAGGGAUUGGAGAGGAAACUUGUAGGUGCUCAUCAUUGGCAGCCCCUAGGCAGACUGCGACUUAAGCCAACAGUUGGGGACUCUGAUCUCACUCCACUUCCUUCACCCAAAGUUUUCCCACUGGCCCCGGUCAUGCAGCCCUCAUGUUGUAGGAUGCGCUGCAGGGCAGAGGAGAGAACACCGGAACAGAACAGAAGCUUGGGGCUGAGCCCCUACAUCUGUCACCACAUUGACUUUGGCCAAAUCACUUCCUGACUGUGGCUCUCAGAUUACUCUCCUGCUUACUGAGCAGGCUGCCACCCCAGAGGUCCACUAAGAACCUUCCAAGUAUGAAUGUUUUGUAAAACUAUACCCCUAGAUCUCCCACUGAAUUCCUUCUCAAAAGAAAAUUCAUUUGCCUUGUGAAUUUGACUCAUGAUCCAUCUGUCCCCUACUGGGGACAGACCUUGAAUUUACUGCAGACUUUCUAGGGACCGGGCAUUGUAUGAAAUGCUGUAAAUACCUUUUCCCGCAGAACCCUUCCUACAGCUCCAUGAGGUCGUAAUUUCUCUUGUAAGAAAACCUGUUCUAUACCUUAGCUUUGGUAUUUCAUUGUUUCCCUUCUGAGUUUAUAGGGACUAUAAAAUAGGUUCACAAAACCUUUCCCAACCUCUGAACCACAGUCUUGUCUACAAUGAAAGGAAAAAAAAAAAAAGUUUGGCAAAGAGCCCAACUCAUUCUAGGUAUUUGCCUAGCGGGAAGGCUAGCUGAAAAAGUUAUAGACUGGUUAAGAAUUAAACUCCUUCCAUUUGACCAUUAGUCUCUAAGAGAAAAACUGUUUUGAAUGGAAGAAGAGAAGUUAAAUAGAGUGACUGGCACACAGAAAGUACUUACAAAUUUUGCUAUUGGUUCUGAAAACCAACAGCGCGCCAGAGACUCUACUAACUUUGUAUACAACGUUGGUAUCAAAACUCACAUAUCCCAGUAUGAUAGAUUUUAUUAUCUCUCAUAUACAGAUGAUCUACAACUCAGAGAGGUUAAGUAAGUUGCUCAAGGUCACAUAGCCAAAAAAUGCUAAAGCCAAAAUCUGGACCCAGGUCCAACUUAUUCAUAAAUCAGUGUCCUUCUGGGGCUUUCUUAAGCUCCCAUUUAUGGAGUUCUUAUCAUGGUGUUUACUGUGCUGAAUUUUCUGGUCUUAUUUCAUCCUUCUGACAUUCCCUAUGCAGUAGGUAUAAUCAUCCCAAGUUUAUAUGAAGAAAUUGGGGAGCAGUGGGUUAAGUAAGAUGCCCAAGGCCACACUGCUGGUAAGCCCCCAGGCUUCUGAUUUCAAAGCCCAUGCUUAAAACUACUCUUUAUCACCUCUGGAUUUUUGCCUUGAGACUGGUAAUUGGCACAUUGGGGAUGAUUUUCUUGACUUUACAGACAGCCACUUCACUGGUUUGAGUAUUAAAAGUGUAUUGACAACAACCCUAUCCCCUGGUCGCUCUUUUCCCCCUUCUUUUUUUUUUUUUUUUUGAGAUGGAGUCUAACUUUGUUGCCCAGGCUUGAGUGCAGUGGCACAAUCUCGGCUCACUGCAACCUCCGCCUCCUGGGUUCAAGUGAUUCUUCUGCCUCAGCCUCCCGAGUAGCUAGGAUUACAGGCGUGUGCCACUGUGCCCGGCUAAUUUUUGUAAUUUUAGUAAAGAUUGGUUUUCUCCAUGUUGGCCAGGCUAGUCUUGAACUCCUGAUUCAGGUGAUCCACCUGCCUCGGCCUCCCAAAGUUCUGGGAUUACAGGCUUGAGCCACUGUGCCCGGCCAUGAGUGGGUGAUUCUAUCAGUAGGCACCAUCAUGGUAUUAGGUUGGUGCAAAAGUAAGUGCAGUUUUCACAAUUAAGAGUAAUGGCAAAAACCACAAUUACUUUUGCACCAACCUAAUAGUUUCAAGUUCUAUAUUUUUGCUUAAGUUUAGAGAGAAAGAUAAAUGUUCUCAUUCAAUUCAGAGCACAAUGUAAACUGAUGCUAUAUGUGGAGGUUCAGCUGCAGGGAGCUAGCUGGACCUAGACAGAAACUCCAUUCUUCAGCCAACUUUCUUCCAAACACCAUACCAGGAACAAUGGAGUACGGAUAGAAAAAGUAUGUGAAUGGUUCAGGGUAGCCCCAUCACCACUGCCAGAAGAUACUCGAGACUAUGCUCCUCUGUAGUGCCUCAAGGGCAUCAUCUGCACACACAAAUGUCAGAAUUAUAAGGGAAAUAUAGAAUACAAGCUUUAUUGGCAGCCCACACUAGUGUGCAUACAUUAGGUCCAAGAAUGGUCUUUGCAUUUUUGUUUAUAAGAACAAAAGAAGUGAAAUACCCUAAAUAUUCACCAGUAGGAAGACAGUUAAUCAAAUUAUGGCUCCGCCACAUAGAAUGGAAUCCUGUGUGUGACCAUUAAGAAUGAUGUUAAUGAAUCCUGAUAAAGAAAAAUGCUCAUGCUGUACUACACAAUUACAAAAUUAGAUUAUAAAACAUCUCUCAUUUUUUAGAGGCUGUAUAAUGUAAUUAAAAUUAAAGACUAUAGAGUCACACUGUCUAGCUACAAAUCCUGGCUCUGUCACUUUUAGCUGUGUGACUUUGGACACGUUGCUUAAGCGAUGUGUGUCUGUUUCAUCACCUGUACAAUGAGUUCUUACUCCCAGAGGUGUUGUAAACACCAAAUGAAUCAAUACAUGUAAAGAAUUUAAACUAGUGUGUGACUCAUUGCAAGCAAGUAUUCAAGACAUGUUUGGUCUUUCAAAAAACAAAAUGUCUAAGUGCUUACAUGAACAAAAAACACCUGGAAAGCACCACGGUGUUAACGAUAGAUUUCUCUGUGUCAUAUAACAUUACAACCUUUUUCUUUUAUCCCUAUUGUUUGCUUAUCUGCAUUUUCAAUAUUUUUUCCAAAAUUAAACAUAGGCUUAAAAAAAAACAAGAAAAUCACAUUUAAUAUUUUUAAAUCCCAAUCUUUUAUCAGAAACAGAAACCUCACCAAAACUCAUUUUUUUAAAAAAGCUAUGGGUCAGGCCAGGUAAUUACAAAACCUGGAGUCUGAAGAAAGUGCAUUGUGUUUCCUCGUCUUUGCUAGUUUGAUGGCCUAACAGCAAGAAAGAAUUUGCACCCCAGCACCUUGAUCCUGAAGAUGCAUAGGCAGGCCUGCGGAGAGGAAGAGACUAGAGAGAUGGGAAAGCCUGAUUUCAUUCCUAGCUAUCCACUUAGUUUAAAAUGUCAGGAAGUUUAGCGGAUUAAGGGUAUUACAGUCACUAUUCAUAAAGGUGUUUUGUUAGAACUUCUAAAUAGCAAUCUGGUGAAAUAAGCCUUGCACAGGCUUAAAUGAAAGCCUGUUACAGUACUUAAAGUUUCCUAGAGAAGGAAAAAGAUCCCCAGGUAUUAAUUUACCUAAAGAGCAGCUGCCUGGAAGACACUGUAAUGUAUCUUAAGUAGCCAAUGCUAUAAAACAGAUAACCAGUCACAGAACUAGGAGGUUUGAGCCCAGAUCACCCGGUGGUAGAACUGCAAUUAGCAGUAAUGAGAGGCAUGUCUACAUUUUGAUAAAAGCCACGGCUGUACAUAUAUUAUAGACUUGGGCGCUUUCUAAAAAAUCCAAGGACAUUUAAAGCUGUUGGAAUCCAAGAGACAGAGAGGCGUGUUUGAAUUUCAAAAUUCGCAAAUUAAAAAAAAGGUGGUGGGGGGCUGUCACGCUUAUCUCACAAAUGCAUCUGGAUGGCACAGUAUGUCAAACUCCAGGGAGAAAAGGAGACUCACAAUUAUUAAGCCCCUAUUUGCACAGCAGACGCAGUGCCAUUUAAGCCAAUUGACCUAAGUGUUCUCCUUUGCAGUCCUGAUCCACGGGAGCAGACAAUCUUGUAAAUGAGUCUCUAAAUCAAAGGUCUGCAAAACCAAUUCCAUUUUCCCCCCAGUCCUUCUUAUGAGAUCACAGAAGCCAUCUCAAGAAAAAAGACAUCUUCACAAUUAGGGGAAAGAUGGGUCAGGAUGAGAAGUCUUACAGAAGGGAAGGGGGUGGGGUUUGAGAGAUGCAGGCUUGGGAGUGAAUUCUGGCUUCACUAAUAAGCUGAGCUAUACAGACUGGAGCUAGUCUACCUGUCUGAGCAGUUUCCUCAUGUGGCUUGGGUAAUGAGGAAACACUGGUGAACAAGAUAGGUUCUUGCCCUCAAGAUGCUUAGAGUAUAGAUGAGGUGACAGGCUAGUAGCAGACAGUUAUAAUAGGAUGUAUUUGGUACUAUGAUAAGGAAAAGUUCAGGCCAUCAUGGGAGCAAAUAGGAGGGACACCCAAUCUGGUCUUUGGUGUGGGGUAGAGAAGGCUUCCUGGAGGAGGUGACAUUUAACGUGAGCCCUGAAGGGAUGGGGUGAGGAUGAAGAGAAUGUCUCUGCAAAGAUUGGAAGGCAAGAAAAAGGAUGGUUUGGGGCGUUGGGGAAGCAAGUAAUUCAGUGUGGUUGAAGAGAGGAGAAGGAGGGGAAGAAUAGCAGGAGCCAGAUCUCAUAGUAAGCCCGGUAACAGUUUGAACUUUAUCCAAGGGGGAUCGGAAGCUCAUAGACAGGCAUUUACUGCUUUUGGAAAAGCCAUGGGUAGCAGAGAUGCAGACAUACCAAAGGAAAAUUACUCCAGCUCUGCUUCCCAAUUCAGAAAUCUCACAGCGCUGUUUGCAUUUUAUCUAAUUUCUCUGACAAAGUCAGCGUUUUAAAAAUUAUGAUGUCCACCCCAUGGAAAGCUGUAAAUCAUAACACUAUCUCACAGCUCAUUUGUCACAGGUUCUAGAGCUCGUUCAGACACCAUUGAGUUCAACGAGCACCUGCCUUCAUGCACUUCAUUUUGGAUAAUCAAAUCUCAAAUUUUAUACAGGGUUGGUUAUCUAGUAAACUGAAGUUACUCUAGACGCUCACAACUGAAAAGAAAAUUAGGGGCCAUUUGACUCAAAUCCAAAUUUGAGUAAGUAAGCUCAGGGGGAAAAGUACCUUGCUUGAGGUCACAGAGUUUAGGGAUAGAUCCAAGGUUAAACCUCAGACCUCCAACCUCCAACCUAUGCUUUUUUGUUUUGCAGCUUCAUCUCUCCCCGUUACAGACCAGGAAUUCCAAAUUCCUAGCCCAAGGUCAGAGAGGUCUCACUGAUGCCUGUGUAGCCACGUGAGGAUGGGAAGUCUCAUUUGCCAGUAAGCACUACAGGAAGUGAUGGUUGAACACGAUGGGACUAAUAAGAAGGAAACGUAGUUAGAGUGAUCUUAUUCAUUUAAAAACAAAAGCAGCAACAAUACAGCAGUCGAGGAAAAGAAUCAAUUCUAUUUAAGCAAAGCAAUUUAAAGUAAUAAAAAAUGUUUCCAGCAUUAU